RNAcentral lists this ribosomal RNA (379 nucleotides) under uncultured bacterium. RNAcentral's name for it is "bacterial SSU rRNA". It matches the Rfam family "Bacterial small subunit ribosomal RNA", at positions 29 to 391 of the family's 1533-position model. The record is from RNAcentral.
AGCGAACGUUAGCGGCGGGCUUAACACAUGCAAGUCGAGCGAGAAAGGGGCUUCGGCCCUGAGUAAAGCGGCGGACGGGUGAGUAACACGUAGGUAAUCUUCCUUCGAGCGGGGGACAACGAGGCGAAAGCCUCGCUAAUACCGCAUAAGUUCCCAGAGACUCCGGUCUUUGGGAGGAAAGCUAGGUAGCAAUAUCCGGCACUCGAUGAGGAGCCUGCGUCGCAUCAGCUAGUUGGGNGGGGUAACGGCCUACCAAGGCGAAGACGCGUAGCUGGUCUGAGAGGAUGAUCAGCCACACUGGGACUGAGACACGGCCCCAGACUCCUACGGGAGGCAGCAGUGGGGGAAUAAUUGGACAAUGGGCGCAAGCCUGAUCCAG